GAUGAACGCUAGCUACAGGCUUAACACAUGCAAGUCGAGGGGAAACGGCAUUAAGUGCUUGCACUUUUUGGACGUCGACCGGCGCACGGGUGAGUAACGCGUAUCCAACCUUCCCAUGACUAAGGGAUAACCUGCCGAAAGGCAGACUAAUACCUUAUGGUCUUCACUGACGGCAUCAGAUGUGAAGUAAAGAUUUAUCGGUUAUGGAUGGGGAUGCGUCUGAUUAGCUUGUUGGCGGGGUAACGGCCCACCAAGGCAACGAUCAGUAGGGGUUCUGAGAGGAAGGUCCCCCACAUUGGAACUGAGACACGGUCCAAACUCCUACGGGAGGCAGCAGUGAGGAAUAUGGGUCAAUGGGCGAGAGCCUGAACCAGCCAAGUAGCGUGCAGGAGGACGGCCCUAUGGGUUGUAAACUGCUUUUGUAUGGGGAUAAAGUCAAUCACGUGUGAUUGUUUGCAGGUACCAUACGAAUAAGGACCGGCUAAUUCCGUG
This 492-nucleotide ribosomal RNA is filed under the name uncultured bacterium. RNAcentral describes it as "partial 16S ribosomal RNA". It matches the Rfam family "Bacterial small subunit ribosomal RNA", at positions 28 to 507 of the family's 1533-position model. The record is from RNAcentral.